GCCACGGUGGCAUAGUGGUUAGCACGUUUGCCUCACACUUCCAGGGUCCGGGGUUCAAGGCCCGCCGAGGCC
Molecule: non-coding RNA, 72 nt
Organism: Ameiurus melas (black bullhead)
Lineage: Eukaryota; Metazoa; Chordata; Actinopteri; Siluriformes; Ictaluridae
Source: the annotation of a GenBank genome assembly